CACCGCCGCGGUAAUACGUAGGUCCCGAGCGUUGUCCGGAUUUAUUGGGCGUAAAGCGAGCGCAGGCGGUUAGAUAAGUCUGAAGUUAAAGGCUGUGGCUUAACCAUAGUACGCUUUGGAAACUGUUUAACUUGAGUGCAAGAGGGGAGAGUGGAAUUCCAUGUGUAGCGGUGAGAUGCGUAGAUAUAUGGAGGAACACCGGUGGCGAAAGCGGCUCUCUGGCUUGUAACUGACGCUGAGGCUCGAAAGCGUGGGGAGCAAACAGGAUUAGAUACCCGCGUAGUCCCUGUCUCUUAUACAC
RNAcentral lists this ribosomal RNA (301 nucleotides) under uncultured bacterium. RNAcentral's name for it is "partial 16S ribosomal RNA". It matches the Rfam family "Bacterial small subunit ribosomal RNA", at positions 510 to 809 of the family's 1533-position model. The record is from RNAcentral.